Molecule: non-coding RNA, 26 nt
Filed under: Cricetulus griseus (Chinese hamster)
Lineage: Eukaryota; Metazoa; Chordata; Mammalia; Rodentia; Cricetidae
Source: RNAcentral
AUGGCUUAGAGGUUAAGAGCAUUGGC